Molecule: ribosomal RNA, 2678 nt
Filed under: Ziziphus jujuba (common jujube)
Lineage: Eukaryota; Viridiplantae; Streptophyta; Magnoliopsida; Rosales; Rhamnaceae
Description: eukaryotic LSU rRNA
Rfam family: Eukaryotic large subunit ribosomal RNA
Source: RNAcentral
GGUUUUUCUUUGUAAUCUUAGCCCGUUUAAAGGCUUAUUUUCAAUGAGAAAUCAAGCUUGAAUUUUAUACAGAAAAUUAUUUGUGAGAUUGAAUUCUUUUUGUUCUUUUGAACACCUAAAACACCAUUAGUGAAUGAAUGUUUUGGUUUUGACUUAUCAAUAGGAUUUUCAUCACCUAUUGUGGCAUCUUCAUUAUAUACGAAGGUUUCUAAUCACAGGUUGGUUAGGGGUCAAGGUGACCAUUAGAACUUGAACAUAAUUAGAUCCGGGCUAAUAUAAUAUGGGUUUAGGAGCAGGUCAUUCUAGGUUCGUAUCACUCCCCAUUCGGCCUGUCUUGAAACACGGACCAAGGAGUCUGACGUGUGUGAGUCAACGGGCCAGUAAACUCGUAAGGCGUAAGGAAGCUGAAUGGUACGAUCCCCAUGCGGGUUGCAACGUCGACCGACCCUGAUCAUCUGAGAAGGGCUCAAGUGAGAGCAUGCCUGAUGGGACCCGAAAGAUGGCGAACUAUACCUGAGCAAGGCGAAGCCAGACGAAACUCUAGUGGAGGCCCGCAACGAUACUGAUAUUCAAAUCAUUCGUCUAACUUGGGUAUAGGGGCGAAAGACUAAUCGAGCCAUCUAGUAGCUGGUUCCUUUCAAAGUUUCCCUCAGGAUAGCUGGAGCCCAUAGACAAGUUAUCUCAGUUAAAGCCAAUGACUAGAGGCAUCGGGGGCACAACGCCCUCGACCUAUUUUCAAACUUUAAACAGGUAGGACGGCGCGACUGCUCCAUUGAGCCGCACUAUGGAAUCAAGAACUCCAAGUGGGCCAUUUUCAAUAAGCAGAACUGGCGAUGCAGGAUGAACUAGAAGCUGGAUUAUGGUGCCCAACUGUGCACUAACCUAGAACCCACAAAGGGUGUUGGUCGAUUAAGAUAGUAAGAUGGUGGUCAUGGAAGUUGAAAUCUACUCAGGAGUGUGUAACAACUCACCUACCGAAUCAACUAGCCCAAAAAAUGGAUGGUACUAAAGAGUGCGACCUAUACUCGGCUGUCGGGACAAGUGCUAGGCCCCGAUGAGUAGGAGGGCACGGCGGUCGCUGUAAAACCUGGGGCGCAAGCCCGGGCGGAGUGGCCAUCAGUGCAGAUCUUAGUGGUAGUAGCAAAUAUUCAAAUGAGAACUUUGAAGGCCGAAUAGGGGAAAGGUUCCAUGUGAACAGCACUUGCACAUGGGUUAGUCGAUCCUAAGAAAUGGGGGAAGCCUAUCUGACAGCGUAACCAGUGCAAAUUUCGAAAGGGAAUCGACUAAAAUUCUUGAACCGGGACAUGGCAGAUGACGACAAUGUUAGGGAGUCCGGAGACAUCGGCGGGAACCUUCAGAAGAGUUAUCUUUUCUAUUAAAUAGCCUACCCACCCUAGAAACGGCUCAGCCAUAGGCAGGGUCUAGUGGCUAGAAGAGCACCACACGUCGCGUGGUGUCCGGUGUGCCCCCGAUGGCCCUUGAAAAUCCAGAUGACCGAUUGCCUCCCACGUCGGUCAUCGAUGGACUGGGAAAAGGUCCCUUUGGGGGCCCUUCCCCAGGCUUCGAACAGUCGACUCAAAACUAGUACGGGCAAGACGAAUCCGACUAUUUAAUUAAAACAAAGCAUUGCGAUGGUCCCUGUAGAUGCUCACGCAAUGUGAUUUCUAUCCAAUGCUCUGAAUGUCAAAGUGAAGAAAUUCAACCAAGUGCGGGUAAAUGGCGGGAGUAACUAUGACUUUUUUAAGGUAGCCAAAUGCCUCGUCAUCUAAUUAGUGAUGCACAUGAAUGGAUUAACAAGAUUCCCACUGUCCAUUGAAUCGGAAGAGGGGCACUGCCCAUUUUUUUAGACCCAAGGCCUGCCUCGACUGGCUGAUCUAGGUGGAAGACAUUGUUAGGUGGGGAGUUUGGCUGGGGCGACACAUCUGUUAGAAGAUAACGUAGGUGUCCUAAGAUGAGCUCAACGAGAAUAGAAAUCUUGUGUGGAACAAAAGGGUGAAAGCUGAUUUGAUUCUGAUUUCUAGUAUGAAUAUAAAUCAUGAAAGCGUGGCCUAUCGAUCCUUUAAACCUUCAAAUUUUGAAGCUAGAGGUGUCAGAAAAGUUACAAUAGGGAUAACUGACUUGUGGCAGCCAAGCGUUCAUAGUGAUGUUGCUUUUUGAUCCUUCGAUGUUGGCUCUUCCUAUCAUUGUGAAGCAGAAUUCACCAUGUGUUGGAUUGUUCACUCACCAAUAGGGAACAUGAAGUGGGUUUAGACCGUCGUGAGAUAGGUUAGUUUUACCCUACUGAUGAUAGUGCCACAAUAGUAAUUCAACCAAGUAUGAGAAGAAUUGUUGAUUCGCACAAUUAGCCAUCGUGCUUGGUUGAAAAGCCAGUGGCACAAAACCACCAUGUGGUGGAUUAUGCCUGAACGCUCUAAGUCAGAAUCUGGGCUAGAAGUGAUGCAUGCACUCGCCGCCCGUUUGCUGACCCACAGUAAGGGCCUUCAUCCCACAAAAGCAUGUGUCGUUGGCCAAGCCCCUGCGCUGGACGUACUAUGCGGGCAGCCUUGAAGUUCAAUUCUUAUCGAGCGGCGGGUAGAAUCCUCUGCAGAGACUUAAAUAUGUGAUGGGGCAUUGUAAGUGGCAGAGUGGCCUUGCUACCAUGAUCUAUUGAGAUUUAGCCCUGCGUCGCUUUGAUUUGU